GCUACAUCACGUAGCAUGCCAGACGGACCCACCAAAGAUGCGCACACAUGGAACGCAGCCUUCUAUGAAAACACUGCGACCUCACUACAAAAGUACAGGCACACAGAAAACUGUGCUGCACUGGGACCUCAGCUGUAAGAGACCUCGCUUGGAAGAGGGAGAGGACAAGAUGUGACGUUUUUCAGGACCCGGCCCCAUAUGUGAAUGAGGUGCUGAAGAUCUCAAAACCUGAGGAUCUCUCUGCCUAGUAUGAGAAACCUGACAAGCAGGAAGUUAUAGCCAGCUAUGUGUCGAAAUUCAAUCAAGGGCAGGUCGAAACCCUGUAUAACUUCCCUGAGCAUCAGGGAACACUCUGCGUAUCUGGAGCACCGAGCAGGAGGGCAGGACCAUCCCGAUUCUCCGGCCCAGAGGGCCUCAACACCAGCUCACAAAGCUUCUGUACGCCAAAUACCUGUAACGGCUGAGCAAAGUUCACAUUGUAUUUAGAGAAUAAAAGGUGACACACAAAUAUAAAGUGUUCCUUUGUUUACAGUAUAGCUACUGA
Long non-coding RNA from Platichthys flesus (European flounder), 544 nucleotides. RefSeq lists it as uncharacterized. The transcript is spliced from 3 exons. Lineage: Eukaryota; Metazoa; Chordata; Actinopteri; Pleuronectiformes; Pleuronectidae. The record is from RefSeq and is a predicted model, not a curated record.